Molecule: ribosomal RNA, 478 nt
Filed under: uncultured bacterium
Lineage: Bacteria
Description: partial 16S ribosomal RNA
Rfam family: Bacterial small subunit ribosomal RNA
Source: RNAcentral
GACGAACGCUGGCGGCGUGCUUAACACAUGCAAGUCGAACGGUAAGGCCCUUCGGGGUACACGAGUGGCGAACGGGUGAGUAACACGUGGGUGAUCUGCCCUGCACUUCGGGAUAAGCCUGGGAAACUGGGUCUAAUACCGGAUAGGACCACUGCCUGCAUGGGUGGUGGUGGAAAGCUUUUGCGGUGUGGGAUGGGCCCGCGGCCUAUCAGCUUGUUGGUGGGGUGAUGGCCUACCAAGGCGACGACGGGUAGCCGGCCUUAGAGGGGGACCGGCAACACUGGGACUGAGAUACUGCCCAGACUCCUACGGGAGGCAGCAGUGGGGACUAUUGCACAAUGGGCGCAAGCCUGAUGCAGCGACGCCGCGUGAGGGAUGACGGCCUUCGGGUUGUAAACCUCUUUCAGCACCGACGAAGCGCAAGUGACGGUAGGUGCAGAAGAAGGACCGGCCAACUACGUGCCAGCCGCCGCGGUAA